UACGGGGGGAGCAAGCGUUGUUCGGAUUUACUGGGCGUAAAGGGCGCGUAGGCGGUCGUGACAAGUCACUUGUGAAAUCUCCGGGCUUAACUCGGAACGGUCAAGUGAUACUGUCGGACUAGAGUACAGAAGGGGCAACUGGAAUUCUCGGUGUAGCGGUGAAAUGCGUAGAGAUUGGAAAGAACACCGAUGGCGAAGGCACUUUACUGGGCUAUUACUAACACUCAGAGACGAAAGCUAGGGUAGCAAAUGGG
Molecule: ribosomal RNA, 254 nt
Filed under: uncultured bacterium
Lineage: Bacteria
Description: partial 16S ribosomal RNA
Rfam family: Bacterial small subunit ribosomal RNA
Source: RNAcentral